UACGAAGGGGGCUAGCGUUGUUCGGAAUCACUGGGCGUAAAGCGCACGUAGGCGGCUUCUUAAGUCAGGGGUGAAAUCCUGGAGCUCAACUCCAGAACUGCCUUUGAUACUGAGAAGCUUGAGUCCGGGAGAGGUGAGUGGAACUGCGAGUGUAGAGGUGAAAUUCGUAGAUAUUCGCAAGAACACCAGUGGCGAAGGCGGCUCGCUGGCCCGGUACUGACGCUGAGGUGCGAAAGCGUGGGGAGCAAACAGG
Molecule: ribosomal RNA, 253 nt
Filed under: uncultured bacterium
Lineage: Bacteria
Description: partial 16S ribosomal RNA
Rfam family: Bacterial small subunit ribosomal RNA
Source: RNAcentral